GAUGAACGCUGGCGGCGUGCUAACACAUGCAAGUCGAACGGGAAUACUUUAUUGAAACUUCGGUCGAUUUAAUUUAAUUCUAGUGGCGGACGGGUGAGUAACGCGUGGGUAACCUGCCUUAUACAGGGGGAUAACAGUCAGAAAUGGCUGCUAAUACCGCAUAAGCGCACAGAGCUGCAUGGCUCGGUGUGAAAAACUCCGGUGGUAUAAGAUGGACCCGCGUUGGAUUAGCUUGUUGGUGGGGUAACGGCCCACCAAGGCGACGAUCCAUAGCCGGCCUGAGAGGGUGAACGGCCACAUUGGGACUGAGACACGGCCCAGACUCCUACGGGAGGCAGCAGUGGGGAAUAUUGCACAAUGGGGGAAACCCUGAUGCAGCGACGCCGCGUGAAGGAAGAAGUAUCUCGGUAUGUAAACUUCUAUCAGCAGGGAAGAUAGUGACGGUACCUGACUAAGAAGCCCCGGCUAACUACGUGCCAGCAGCCGCGGUAAUACGUAGGGGGCAAGCGUUAUCCGGAUUUACUGGGUGUAAAGGGAGCGUAGACGGUGUGGCAAGUCUGAUGUGAAAGGCAUGG
RNAcentral lists this ribosomal RNA (575 nucleotides) under uncultured Lachnospiraceae bacterium. RNAcentral's name for it is "bacterial SSU rRNA". It matches the Rfam family "Bacterial small subunit ribosomal RNA", at positions 28 to 606 of the family's 1533-position model. The record is from RNAcentral. Lineage: Bacteria; Bacillati; Bacillota; Clostridia; Lachnospirales; Lachnospiraceae.